RNAcentral lists this ribosomal RNA (453 nucleotides) under uncultured bacterium. RNAcentral's name for it is "bacterial SSU rRNA". It matches the Rfam family "Bacterial small subunit ribosomal RNA", at positions 340 to 786 of the family's 1533-position model. The record is from RNAcentral.
UACGGGAGGCAGCAGUGGGGAAUAUUGCACAAUGGGCGCAAGCCUGAUGCAGCCAUGCCGCGUGUAUGAAGAAGGCCUUCGGGUUGUAAAGUACUUUCAGCGGGGAGGAAGGCGAUGCGGUUAAUAACCGCGUCGAUUGACGUUACCCGCAGAAGAAGCACCGGCUAACUCCGUGCCAGCAGCCGCGGUAAUACGGAGGGUGCAAGCGUUAAUCGGAAUUACUGGGCGUAAAGCGCACGCAGGCGGUCUGUUAAGUCAGAUGUGAAAUCCCCGGGCUUAACCUGGGAACUGCAUUUUGAACUGGCAGGCUUGAGUCUUGUAGAGGGGGUAGAAUUCCAGGUGUAGCGGUGAAUGCGUAGAGAUCUGGAGGAAUACCGGUGGCGAAGGCGGCCCCUGGGACAAGACUGACGCUCAGGGUGCGAAAGCGUGGGGAGCAAACAGGGAUUAGAUACC